GUUUGAUCCUGGCUCAGAAUCAACGCUGGCGGCGUGCCUAACACAUGCAAGUCGAACGCGGUUACUUCGCAAGAGGUAACUGAGUGGCGAACGGGUGAGUAACACGUGGGUGACCUACCUUCGAAUGGGGGAUAACGUCCCGAAAGGGACGCUAAUACCGCAUAACAUCCUGCUUUUGAACAGGUGGAGAUCAAAGCCGGGGAUCGCAAGACCUGGCGUUUGAAGAGGGGCCCGCGUCUGAUUAGCUAGUUGGUGAGGUAACGGCCCACCAAGGCGACGAUCAGUAUCCGGCCUGAGAGGGCGGACGGACACACUGGGACUGAGACACGGCCCAGACUCCUACGGGAGGCAGCAGUGGGGAAUUGUUCGCAAUGGGCGCAAGCCUGACGACGCAACGCCGCGUGGAGGAUGAAGGUCUUCGGAUUGUAAA
Molecule: ribosomal RNA, 430 nt
Filed under: uncultured bacterium
Lineage: Bacteria
Description: bacterial SSU rRNA
Rfam family: Bacterial small subunit ribosomal RNA
Source: RNAcentral